This is a long non-coding RNA of Haplochromis burtoni (Burton's mouthbrooder), 375 nucleotides long. RefSeq lists it as uncharacterized. NCBI's taxonomy places the organism in Eukaryota, Metazoa, Chordata, Actinopteri, Cichliformes, Cichlidae. The record is from RefSeq and is a predicted model, not a curated record. The transcript has 2 exons.
AACUGAUGAAUCACUGCAGCUCCAAUAUAUUGUUGCAUUUGACAACCCACUACAGCAACUACAGAAUAAAACCACUAACCAGACUGAUGACAGAUUUCAAACAUGCUGAAUAUGAAGAGUAGUAUCAUUUAAACUCACAUGAUUAUCAGCCAUAAGAACAAAUUCAGAUUUAUAUUGAUGUAAGGUAUAUAAAUGUAAGUACAGUUUGAAUCAGUGCAAUAUUAUUUUCACACAUCAAUGGACCACUGAACUUCUCAGCUUCUAAAAUGUAAAGCCUCAUUUAGAAACUACACAAGUACAUAUAAUGGUCAGGGAUCAACAUGAACCUGUCUUCUCUAUUUGACUUUAAUCAACUCUGCAGUGGCUCCAAGUCCA